This 532-nucleotide long non-coding RNA is filed under the name Heterocephalus glaber (naked mole-rat). RNAcentral's name for it is "lncRNA (ENSHGLG00000044089.1)". The record is from RNAcentral. Lineage: Eukaryota; Metazoa; Chordata; Mammalia; Rodentia; Bathyergidae.
ACUCCCGGUCGCAGGCGAAAAGACACGGAUGCAACCUGAGUCCUAGGAUUCCGGGGACCAGAGGGCAGCGCCGGCGGCCAAGAUCGUGAGGUGCCAGAGACGCAUUUGAGAAGUGAUCCCAUGAAGUCCAUGAGGGUGGGGAACCACCUACCAGAGAGGAGCGGGCGAGGAAUGCUGCCCUAUUAUGGUGGACCAUAGAAGACUUCACCAGACGUUGGUGUCAUGCUUUUAGACUUCCAGCCUCCAGAACCAGGAGCCAAAUAACCUUCUGCUAUUUAUAAGUUACCCAGUUUGUGAUGUUGUUUUUCUCUCUUGUUUGGAUUUUGAGACAGGGUCUCACUCUGUACUUCAGGCUGGCCUCAAACUGCUUGGGAUUACAGGCCUGGCUUGGCAUUCUUUUUAUAGCGGCAGAAAAUGGACAGAAGGAAAAUGAAGGUGGCUUUGUGACACAUCUGUAAGCCCAGCACAGAAUGAUUGUGAGUUUGAGGCCAGCCUGGGCAAGUUCAAGGCCAGCGUGGACUAAAUAGUGAGA